RNAcentral lists this ribosomal RNA (421 nucleotides) under uncultured bacterium. RNAcentral's name for it is "partial 16S ribosomal RNA". It matches the Rfam family "Bacterial small subunit ribosomal RNA", at positions 361 to 774 of the family's 1533-position model. The record is from RNAcentral.
AUUUUGGACAAUGGGGGCGACCCGGAUCCAGCCAUCCCGCGUGUGCGAUGAAGGCCUUCGGGUUGNACAGCACUUUUGGCAGGGAANAAAAGGCGCCGGAUAAUAACUGGCGCCGCUGACGGUACCUGCAGAAUAAGCACCUGCGAACGACGUGCCAGCAGCAGCGGUAAUACGUAGGGUGCAAGCGUUAAUCGGAAUGACUGGGCGUAAAGCGUGCGCAGGCGGUUCGGAAAGAAAGAUGUGAAAUCCCAGGGCUUAACCUUGGAACGGCAUUUUUAACUGCCGGGCUAGAGUAUGUCAGAGGGGGGUAGAAUUCCACGUGUAGCAGUGAAAUGCGUAGAGAUGUGGAGGAAUACCGAUGGCGAAGGCAGCCCCCUGGGAUAAUACUGACGCUCAUGCACGAAAGCGUGGGGAGCAAACA